UGAUCCAGCCUGCCGCGUGCUNGANGACGGCCCUAUGGGUUGUAAACUGCUUUUAUACAGGAAGAAACCUCCCCACGUGUGGGGAGCUGACGGUACUGUAAGAAUAAGGACCGGCUAACUCCGUGCCAGCAGCCGCGGUAAUAU
Molecule: ribosomal RNA, 144 nt
Filed under: uncultured Bacteroidota bacterium
Lineage: Bacteria; Pseudomonadati; Bacteroidota
Description: uncultured Bacteroidetes bacterium partial 16S ribosomal RNA
Rfam family: Bacterial small subunit ribosomal RNA
Source: RNAcentral